AUGCAAGUCGUACGCUUUAUGUAGCAAUACAUGAAGAGUGGCGUAAGGGAGAGAAAUCCACAGUUAGCUACCCCCAGGACUGGGAUAGCGGCGGGAAACUGCCGGUAAUACCAGAUAAUGUCUUCGGACCAAACGUGUGAAUCGGCCCGGGGAGGCGACUGUGUCCUAUCAGCUAGUUGGCGGUGUAAUAGACCACCAAGGCUAAGACGGGUAUGGGGCGUGAGAGCGUGCCCCCACUCACUGGGACUGAGACACUGCCCAGACACCUACGGGUGGCUGCAGUCGAGAAUCUUCGGCAAUGGGCGCAAGCCUGACCGAGCGACGCCUCGUGCGGGAUGAAGGCCUUCGGGUUGUAAACCGCUGUCGUAGGGGAGGAAGGCUCCGUGCAGAACGGAGUUUGACCGAUCCUAGGAGGAAGGGCCGGCUAAUCUCGUGCCAGCAGCCGCGGUAAUACGAGAGGCCCAAACGUUAUUCGGAAUUACUGGGCUUAAAGAGUUCGUAGGCGGCGCAGAAAGUAGGGUGUGAAAGCCCUCGGCUUAACCGAGGAAUUGCGCCCUAAACUACUGUGCUUGAGGAACCUAGAGGUGAGCAGAACAGAUGGUGGAGCGGUGAAAUGCGUUGAUAUCAUCUGGAAUACCGGAGGCGAAGGCGGCUCACUGGG
Molecule: ribosomal RNA, 661 nt
Filed under: uncultured soil bacterium
Lineage: Bacteria
Description: bacterial SSU rRNA
Rfam family: Bacterial small subunit ribosomal RNA
Source: RNAcentral